Molecule: ribosomal RNA, 410 nt
Filed under: Verrucomicrobiota bacterium
Lineage: Bacteria; Pseudomonadati; Verrucomicrobiota
Description: Verrucomicrobia bacterium partial 16S ribosomal RNA
Rfam family: Bacterial small subunit ribosomal RNA
Source: RNAcentral
UGGGGAAUCUUGCACAAUGGGCGAAAGCCUGAUGCAGCGACGCCGCGUGCGGGAUGAAGGCCUUCGGGUUGUAAACCGCUUUCAGCAGGGACGAGGCCGCAAGGUGACGGUACCUGCAGAAGAAGCCCCGGCUAACUACGUGCCAGCAGCCGCGGUAAUACGUAGGGGGCAAGCGUUAUCCGGAUUCAUUGGGCGUAAAGCGCGCGUAGGCGGUUUGUUAGGUCAGGAGUUAAAUCUGGGGGCUCAACCCCUAUCCGCUCCUGAUACCGGCAGGCUUGAGUCUGGUAGGGGAAGGCGGAAUUCCAAGUGUAGCGGUGAAAUGCGCAGAUAUUAAAAAGAAUACCGGUGGCGAAGGCGACUUACUGGGCUCAUUCUGACGCUGAGGAACGAAAGCGUGGGGAGCAAACAGG